Molecule: ribosomal RNA, 497 nt
Filed under: uncultured bacterium
Lineage: Bacteria
Description: partial 16S ribosomal RNA
Rfam family: Bacterial small subunit ribosomal RNA
Source: RNAcentral
GAUGAACGCUGGCGGCGUGCCUAAUACAUGCAAGUCGAGCGAACGGACGAGAAGCUUGCUUCUCUGAUGUUAGCGGCGGACGGGUGAGUAACACGUGGAUAACCUACCUAUAAGACUGGGAUAACUUCGGGAAACCGUAGCUAAUACCGGAUAAUAUUUUGAACCGCAUGGUUCAAAAGUGAAAGACGGUCUUUCUGUCACUUAUAGAUGGAUCUGCGCUGCAUUAGCUAGUUGGGAAGGUAACGGCUUACCACGGCAACUAUGCAUAGCCGACCUGAGAGGGUGGUCGGCCACACUGGAACUGAGACACGGUCCAUACGCCUACGGGAGGCAGCAGUAGGCAAUCUUCCGCAAUGGGCGAAAGCCUGACGGAGCAACGCCGCGUGAGUGAUGAAGGUCUUCGGAUCGUAAAACUCUGUUAUUAGGGAAGAACAUAUGUGUAAGUAACUGUGCACAUCUUGACGGUACCUAAUCAGAAAGCCACGGCUAACUACGUG